GGAGAGGUGACCGAGUGGCCGAAGGUGCUCGCCUGCUAAGCGAGUGAGGGGCUAAAACCCCCUCCGAGGGUUCGAAUCCCUCCCUCUCCGCCA
This 93-nucleotide transfer RNA is filed under the name Deltaproteobacteria bacterium. RNAcentral describes it as "tRNA-Ser". It matches the Rfam family "tRNA". From Rfam's summary of the family: Transfer RNA (tRNA) molecules are approximately 80 nucleotides in length. The record is from RNAcentral. Lineage: Bacteria; Pseudomonadati; Myxococcota; Myxococcia.